AUUAAUAUGACAGAAAAUUGUAAUGAAUUUAAAAUUCAUAUAUACUUUAAAUUUAAAGUUAUUAAUA
Molecule: transfer RNA, 67 nt
Filed under: Didesmococcus koreanus
Lineage: Eukaryota; Metazoa; Arthropoda; Insecta; Hemiptera; Coccidae
Description: tRNA-Leu
Source: RNAcentral